GAAUGGGAUGAUGAUCGAUAUCGUUUCCCUAUUGGUUUGAUUGCCUGCAUGAUGGCACAUUUCUAUCAGGUCUAUCUGACCAUUC
This is a small nucleolar RNA of Tripterygium wilfordii, 85 nucleotides long. RefSeq annotates it as small nucleolar RNA Z102/R77. The transcript has a single exon. The record is from RefSeq and is a predicted model, not a curated record. NCBI's taxonomy places the organism in Eukaryota, Viridiplantae, Streptophyta, Magnoliopsida, Celastrales, Celastraceae.